This 253-nucleotide ribosomal RNA is filed under the name uncultured bacterium. Its description in RNAcentral is "partial 16S ribosomal RNA". It matches the Rfam family "Bacterial small subunit ribosomal RNA", at positions 524 to 776 of the family's 1533-position model. The record is from RNAcentral.
UACGAAGGACCCAAGCGUUAUCCGGAUUCAUUGGGUUUAAAGGGUGCGUAGGCGGAUUGAUAAGUCAGUGGUGAAAGCCUGCAGCUUAACUGCAGAAGUGCCAUUGAUACUGUCGAUCUUGAAUAUGUUUGAUGUGGGCGGAAUAUGACAUGUAGCGGUGAAAUGCUUAGAUAUGUCAUAGAACACCGAUUGCGAAGGCAGCUCACAAAGCCAUUAUUGACGCUGAGGCACGAAAGUGUGGGGAUCAAACAGG